CCAAUAGCGUAUAUUAAAGUUGUUGCAGUUAAAAAGCUCGUAGUUGAAUUUCGGGAUCAGUAGGUCGGUCGUGCCACUGGUAUGAACUGGUCUCACUGGUUCCUCCCUCUUGACGAACUGCAAUGCUAUUAAUUUAGUGUUGUAGGAAAUCAGGACUGUUACUUUGAAAAAAUUAGAGUGUUUAAAGCAGGCUUUGGCUUGAAUACAUUAGCAUGGAAUAAUGAAAUAGGACGUUCGAUCCUAUUUUGUUGGCUUCUAGGAUUGACGUAAUGAUUAAUAGGGACAGUUGGGGGCAUUAGUAUUCAAUUGUCAGAGGUGAAAUUCUUGGAUUUAUUGAAGACUAACUACUGCGAAAGCAUUUGCCAUGGAUGUUUUCAUUAAUCAAGAACGAAAGUUAGGGGAUCGAAGACGAUCAGAUACCGUCGUAGUCUUAACCAUAAACUAUGCCGACUAGGGAUCGGAUGAUGUUAAUUUUUUAAUGACUCAUUCGGCGCCUUACG
RNAcentral lists this unclassified non-coding RNA (500 nucleotides) under uncultured Glomus. Its description in RNAcentral is "SSU rRNA". It matches the Rfam family "Eukaryotic small subunit ribosomal RNA", at positions 591 to 1092 of the family's 1831-position model. Lineage: Eukaryota; Fungi; Glomeromycota; Glomeromycetes; Glomerales; Glomeraceae. The record is from RNAcentral.